RNAcentral lists this long non-coding RNA (865 nucleotides) under Gallus gallus (chicken). The record is from RNAcentral. Lineage: Eukaryota; Metazoa; Chordata; Aves; Galliformes; Phasianidae.
CUUGAACUGGUGAUUGAGCACCUGGUGAAGGCGAGGCCGGCCCAGGGAGCUCAGGCAGAUUGCUUGCACCUGUGCUCCCCAGGUGACCAGAAUGGGUGGGCUCUGUGAUUCUAUUCUAUGAGUCACAGUAGGGCCCCCCAGGGCUCAUAAGAGGGCCAGCCGCGGAAGGGAGAGCAUCUCCUGGUCAUGGGCUGCUCGCUGAGGAGGAGUGCUGUGUGGUCGGUGGGCCCCAUCAGCAGUUGGGUAUUGACUUGAUGCAAUCUACUAAUCACUGGAAGGCAUCUCUUUUAACUGGAGAAAGCAUUAUAUGAAAAUGGUGAACUGGAGCUACGUGGAGUGAUCUGGAGGGAGCUGUUUUCUCUGGCUGGCCAGGGCAGCAGAGCUGGAAGGACUUGGUGACUGGCUGCGACUAGGACCUCAUGCAUGUAAUGGUUGAAGGAGGGUGAAAUCUGCACAGGAAUCCAAAACAAUAUUGCCAAUGGUGAGAAACCAUUUCUGACAAGUCAGAAGACACACCUGCAACGUUCCGGGCUGAAGCAGAAAGAACAACCUCUAGAAAUACAAGAUGGGAAAGCUCCGAGAACGUUCCACAGCACAGAAAGAAGAUUCCCUGAAGAAGCAGCAACUGUUUUUGAGAUAUCAGUCCACUCGGAUUAGAUCUUUUUGCAUGGAUCUGAAAGCUAAUGAAUCUUUGAGGAAGCUUCAGUCAGCAUUAUCCCUCUGUAUUGCAAACGACGUAUUGGAUCUUCAAGCUGUUGUGUUUGUACCCCUGCAGCCAUUGGGCUGCUGCAGAGCUGUGUUCCACUUUGUCCCUCUAUUUGUGCUGUUGUGACAUUGGCCUUUGAUUGUAUACUGUGUAUCUGAG